RNAcentral lists this ribosomal RNA (468 nucleotides) under uncultured bacterium. RNAcentral's name for it is "partial 16S ribosomal RNA". It matches the Rfam family "Bacterial small subunit ribosomal RNA", at positions 28 to 507 of the family's 1533-position model. The record is from RNAcentral.
GACGAACGCUGGCGGCGUGCUUAACACAUGCAAGUCGAACGGAAAGGCCCUGCUUCUGUGGGGUGCUCGAGUGGCGAACGGGUGAGUAACACGUGAGUAACCUGCCCUUGACUUUGGGAUAACUUCAGGAAACUGGGGCUAAUACCGGAUAGGAGCUCCUGCUGCAUGGUGGGGGUUGGAAAGUUUCGGCGGUUGGGGAUGGACUCGCGGCUUAUCAGCUUGUUGGUGGGGUAGUGGCUUACCAAGGCUUUGACGGGUAGCCGGCCUGAGAGGGUGACCGGCCACAUUGGGACUGAGAUACGGCCCAGACUCCUACGGGAGGCAGCAGUGGGGAAUAUUGCACAAUGGGCGGAAGCCUGAUGCAGCAACGCCGCGUGCGGGAUGACGGCCUUCGGGUUGUAAACCGCUUUCGCCUGUGACGAAGCGUGAGUGGCGGUAAUGGGUAAAGAAGCACCGGCUAACUACGUG